CCCCCGUGUAAAUGCAGUAAAGACAUGAAGCCAGGUGGGAAAGUGUAUUUGUCAUCUUGAGUGAUGGGCAUGGUAGACAAGAUAAAGAGGCUUUAUUGAACUCACUGAAAUCCAAUGUUAAGAAACUUAAAAUUUUAUGUAUUAUAAUAGUUGUCAUAGAACAUAAAGUAUUUUUCAAAUUAAUCAAGCUAUGUUGUGUUUUUCAGCUUUUAUCUGACUAGUAUCUAUGACCAUUCAAUAUUUGAAGCCUUUAGUAAGGUGGUGCAGAAACUCAUUCCACAACUGCCGACCUUGGAAAACCUAUUAAAUAUCUUUAUAUCAAAUUCAGGUAUUGAAAAAGCUUUUCUCUUUGAUGUUGUCAGCAAAAUCUACAUUGCAACAGACAGUUCCCCUGUGGAUAUGCAAUCUUAUGAACUUUGCUGUGACAUGAUCGAUGUUGUAAUUGAUGUGUCUUGUAUAUAUGGGUAAGUUAUGUAUAUAUUCCUGCAAUAUCUCAGACAGGCAGAAAACUAUUAACUUGAUUUGUCCAGAAGACUAAUUUCUGAGGCCUCUGGCAAGUAGUACUAC
Molecule: small RNA, 567 nt
Filed under: Pongo abelii (Sumatran orangutan)
Lineage: Eukaryota; Metazoa; Chordata; Mammalia; Primates; Hominidae
Description: retained intron
Source: RNAcentral